Molecule: long non-coding RNA, 309 nt
Filed under: Gossypium raimondii (Peruvian cotton)
Lineage: Eukaryota; Viridiplantae; Streptophyta; Magnoliopsida; Malvales; Malvaceae
Description: long non-coding RNA (GRAI_LNC010324)
Source: RNAcentral
CGUUUAACGUCAGACUCGACUCUCAAAAGUCCCCAGCGGAGUCGCCAGCUGUAGCGACCUAAAAAUUUGGUGUGGGCGCUAAUUGAAGUGAUUAUUGAAAAUUUGAAAACGGAGUUUCGAUUUUAUUUGAAAAAAAGGAGUCGCCACCGAUCUUUUUCUAGGUGUGAUCGGACACCUUCAAAACUCUCUUUUUAUAAGAAAAAAUUUAAUUUUAAACUUUUCUAAAAAAGAGGCAAUUUUAGGUCUACGUUGAAAUCCAGAGAAAAUUAGGGUUCGGGAGUCGGUUACGCGCGAGGAAGGUAUUAGCAC